UACGAAGGGGGGCUAGCGUUGUUCGGAAUUACUGGGCGUAAAGCGCACGCAGGCGGCUCGUUGAAUUAGAAGUGAAAGCCCUGGGCUCAACCCGGGAAUUGCUUUUAAGACUGGCGAGCUAGAGUCCGGAAGAGGGUAGUGGAAUUCCCAGUGUAGAGGUGAAAUUCGUAGAUAUUGGGAAGAACACCGGUGGCGAAGGCGGCUACCUGGUCCGGUACUGACGCUCAGGUGCGAAAGCGUGGGGAGCAAACAGG
Molecule: ribosomal RNA, 254 nt
Filed under: uncultured bacterium
Lineage: Bacteria
Description: partial 16S ribosomal RNA
Rfam family: Bacterial small subunit ribosomal RNA
Source: RNAcentral